RNAcentral lists this transfer RNA (69 nucleotides) under Enterobacter genomosp. O. RNAcentral describes it as "tRNA-Phe". The stretch from base 4 to 65 matches the Rfam family "tRNA". From Rfam's summary of the family: Transfer RNA (tRNA) molecules are approximately 80 nucleotides in length. Their secondary structure includes four short double-helical elements and three loops (D, anti-codon, and T loops). Lineage: Bacteria; Pseudomonadati; Pseudomonadota; Gammaproteobacteria; Enterobacterales; Enterobacteriaceae. The record is from RNAcentral.
GAGUAAGUAGCUCAGAUGGUAGAGCAGGUGCAAAACACCGUGUCGAUGGUUCGAGUCCAUCUUUAUAAG